This is a long non-coding RNA of Hyla sarda, 404 nucleotides long. RefSeq lists it as uncharacterized. The record is from RefSeq and is a predicted model, not a curated record. Lineage: Eukaryota; Metazoa; Chordata; Amphibia; Anura; Hylidae. The transcript has 3 exons.
AGGCGUUCCCUCGGACACGGUUCAUGGCACACCUCUGACUGCUUUGCUAAGUUUAAGGUUUUCUUACAGUUGUUUAUGGUAAAAUGAAAAGUGUUAUUACAAAGCACAAUUGGUUCCACAAAAAGCAAGCCCUCAUAUGGUCCUGUUGAUGGAGAAAUAAGAGUUAUGCCUCUCAAAAGGCGAGGAGGAAAAAACUAAAAUGCUAUAAAGUUGUUGGUGUAUGGAUUCUGAAGUCAAAGCGGACGCUUAGAGUAGGCAAAGAUGUGGUGAGUCUGGUGGAUGACCUGCCCAUCGGAGUCGGUUGGGCAGUACCGCAUGGAUUUUGACAAAGAAUUUGUGUGCCUUUAAGGCUGGUUUGAUAUGCUAAUUUAAAAUAAAACCUGUGACAGACCCCUACCCACUUA